Molecule: long non-coding RNA, 657 nt
Organism: Ruditapes philippinarum (Manila clam)
Lineage: Eukaryota; Metazoa; Mollusca; Bivalvia; Venerida; Veneridae
Exons: 3
Source: RefSeq, a predicted model, not a curated record
GCGAAGAUGAAACAUUAGACCAUGGUAUUGAUGACGGAAAGGACACUUCCGGUGGCAGAGAACUGGAACAGGAAGUGGGAGAAGCAAUAAUCAAAAAUCAAAAAGGAAGGAUUAAGGAAGAAAAUAAAUGUAAUAAAAGUUAAGCGGCAACAGGGUGAUAGUUGAGUUUUAUACUCAGUUGAAGAUAAUCCACCGUGGCAUUUAUGUAUUCUACUUGGAUUUCAGCACUACGUGACAGCUGUCGGGGACAUUAUUUCAGUUCCAUUGAUGCUUGCCGAAUAUUUCUGUAUGGACAAAGACGUUGUCGGUAUUAGUGAACUUAUUGGGACCAUCGUGUUUGUCUCUGGUCUGGCUACCUUGCUUCAGAGCACUUUGGGUGUUAGACUACCAAUAGUUCAAGGAGGGACUGUUACUUUCGUUAUACCAACUAUAGCAAUUCUUCUUCAACCGCAAGGGAGUGUGAGUACGUAACAGCUAGGAACCAGUAUGGACCAAAUCUAAAUUUAACUCAACUUGGGUUGCUGGAAAUAGGAAGUGAAAAACACCGUGAAAUGUGGAUGUUGCGGAUACGUGAAAUACAAGGAGCUAUAAUUGUGGCCUCGCUGUUCCAAGUGCUAACAGGAAUAAGUGGUAUACUAACGUACAUGUUGAAGUAUA